CUCCUCCUCCUCGGCUUCCUGCUCUCCUUCUAUCCGCCUCCAGCCCGUGUGUGUCAGCACAUCCCUGCCCCGCACUGUUAUAUCAUUGCCUGAUCCUUCUGGGCCUCUGGUUUCUGCAAUGAUGAAGCAUCUAUAGAAAUGUCAUCAUCCAGUGGUUUCUGACAAGCCAUGUUAAGAAGAUACACACAGUGGUCCCUCAAGUUACAAUAUGAAGUGGUUCCAGGACGACCAUUGUAUGUUGAAACCAUUGUAUGUUGAGACCAGAACUCUAUGGAAACCUGGUAAUUGGUUCUGAAGCCACCAAAAUAUCAUCCAAAAAUAGGAAAAGGAGACAGAUUCUACAGUCUAUAGAGCCGUCUUGGACAGCAACGCACAAGAUGCUUUUUUCGCCUCAUUCUGGUGAUCGUCGGGGGUCUGAACAUCCAGACACUGAUCAAAUAUUUUGACAUAUCUCUUUGAUAUGUCAAAAGCUUCUACCAAGAUGCAGUACAAGAUUAUUCAGUAUUAAUAGUUAUAAACACAUUUCUGUCCCAAUUUCACAAAACUCAAUUCAAAAUUCAAUCCAAAUUGAUUGGACUAGGCACUCUUCACCCAGUGUGUACUGUACAGAGGCAAGGAAUCCUGAGUUUUACAGCAGUCUCUGCUCCUGUACACACUUUAUAUUGGGAAUUGCAGAACAAUCAGGGCACUUCUGGAUCCGAAUACAGAUAUGAAGAUUCAAAGUAUUGACCCAAAACAAAUCUCAGGAAAUGUGCACAUUUCUAGUCCAAUGUAAACAUUAUUGGUCUUAUGUGAAGGGAAUAUUAGAUAUGUCAUAUAAAGCAGGUUGCUGGUUAAAGGGGUACUCUGGGGUACUGGACUAAUGAGACACUUAUCCCCUA
This is a long non-coding RNA of Hyla sarda, 881 nucleotides long. RefSeq lists it as uncharacterized. The record is from RefSeq and is a predicted model, not a curated record. The transcript has 4 exons. NCBI's taxonomy places the organism in Eukaryota, Metazoa, Chordata, Amphibia, Anura, Hylidae.